Long non-coding RNA from Lactuca sativa (garden lettuce), 1016 nucleotides. RefSeq lists it as uncharacterized. The record is from RefSeq and is a predicted model, not a curated record. NCBI's taxonomy places the organism in Eukaryota, Viridiplantae, Streptophyta, Magnoliopsida, Asterales, Asteraceae.
UUAUAUUACAAUUUGAUCUUCUUCUCAAACAAAGAAAUACUAAUAGGUUCUGGUGUUCUAAACACCAAGUACAUAUGAUAUAACUACAGUUUACUUACUCUAUACUUCUAGGGCUCAUUACUAGGGCUCAUUAUCAGUGAACAACAUUCAUACCCACUUGAUACAUUGGAAUAAUUGUUCUUAAAACCCAUUUGAUGAGAAAAAAAAAGAGGAGAAAAUACAAAUAUUCUUCUCAUUCAAUUAUAUCACAACCACCAUAAAUUUCACCCGAAAGCAUCAAAAGGCUCCAAAUCUCACAAUAGUGGUGACGAUUAUCCUGAUAUAGUAACCCUAAAUCUUCACAGACUCUUUAACUAGAAGCAACCCAACGUGGUGUUCGCGAAAUUGAAAAUGGAGCACAAUACCUUCGAGUUUUGAAGAAACUCAUUCUAAGGCAACGCCACUACAUAACCAAAUCAUUAGUCCUUUAUGCAAACUCGAUCCAGUAAAAUCGACAGUAUUUGGCUCCUACACUUGAAGAUGCAGACGCAUAUUUAAUCCUAGAGCUUGAAACAUGAGGCUAAUUUAAGCUACAGCUCCUGGGAAACGCACCAUUGAUGGCAUUCUCUCGUCAAUUGACUACAAAGACAUACUCAUCGGCUAACAAAAAGGGAGAAAUGAGUCAUGCGCACAAGGUGUUCGGCAAAAUUCUCCAGAGAAGAUUGUUGGGAAGAAUACAAGCUUCUGAUCGGUUCCUGAUGCCAUCUCCAUAUCCAAAAAAAAUCGGAUGAUGUAACAAAGCGCUCAACGAAAUGUAACAAAAUGUUUUGCUUCUAGAUUCUCUGGUAGAUUUAACUGGCAUAAUGAAGGAGGAAGAAUGAGCUAUGCACAUAAGGUGCUCGAUGAAAUUCUUAAGAACUAAAACAUCAUUUAUUUAGCUUUUACACUUAACCUUUGCAAGGUCUUACAUUCAAACAGCAACAUUUUCACAUCCAUAUAUACUUUCCCGUCUUUCUAAUAGAUUUUCGUUAGCAUUA